AUCCAACUGAUGAGUCCCAAAUUGGACGAAACACACGUCAAACUGGAU
This 48-nucleotide non-coding RNA is filed under the name Schistosoma mansoni. The record is from RNAcentral. Lineage: Eukaryota; Metazoa; Platyhelminthes; Trematoda; Strigeidida; Schistosomatidae.